This 96-nucleotide ribosomal RNA is filed under the name Phormidium uncinatum SAG 81.79. Its description in RNAcentral is "partial 16S ribosomal RNA". It matches the Rfam family "Bacterial small subunit ribosomal RNA", at positions 1440 to 1533 of the family's 1533-position model. The record is from RNAcentral. Lineage: Bacteria; Bacillati; Cyanobacteriota; Cyanophyceae; Oscillatoriales; Oscillatoriaceae.
CAUUCGUGGAGGAGGACGCCGAAGGUGGGGCUGAUGACUGGGGUGAAGUCGUAACAAGGUAGCCGUACCGGAAGGUGUGGCUGGAUCACCUCCUUU